AUUGAACGCUGGCGGCAGGCCUAACACAUGCAAGUCGAACGAGGGGCGGACGGGUGAGGAAUGUCUGGGAAACUGCCCGAGGGAGGGGGAUAACUACUGGAAACGGUAGCUAAUACCGCAUACCAUCGGAUGUGCCCAGAUGGGAUUAGCUAGUAGGUGGGGUAACGGCUCACCUAGGCGACGAUCCCUAGCUGGUCGGAGAGGAUGACCAGCCACACUGGAACUGAGACACGGUCCAGACUCCUACGGGAGGCAGCAGUGGGGAAUAUUGCACAAGGGGCGCAAGCCUGAUGCAGCCAUGCAGCGUGUAUGAAGAAGGCCUUCGGGUUGUAAAGUACUUUCAGCGAGGAGGCGUUACUCGCAGAAGAAGCACCGGCUAACUCCGUGCCAGCAGCCGCGGUAAUUC
This 406-nucleotide ribosomal RNA is filed under the name uncultured bacterium. RNAcentral's name for it is "partial 16S ribosomal RNA". It matches the Rfam family "Bacterial small subunit ribosomal RNA", at positions 29 to 526 of the family's 1533-position model. The record is from RNAcentral.